RNAcentral lists this ribosomal RNA (615 nucleotides) under Arsenophonus endosymbiont of Reduviidae sp. Its description in RNAcentral is "bacterial SSU rRNA". It matches the Rfam family "Bacterial small subunit ribosomal RNA", at positions 413 to 1018 of the family's 1533-position model. Lineage: Bacteria; Pseudomonadati; Pseudomonadota; Gammaproteobacteria; Enterobacterales; Morganellaceae. The record is from RNAcentral.
CACCAUUCUGGGUUGUAAAGUACUUUCAGUCGUGAGGAAGGUGUUAAGGUUAAUAACCUUAGCAAUUGACGUUAGCGACAGAAGAAGCACCGGCUAACUCCGUGCCAGCAGCCGCGGUAAUACGGAGGGUGCGAGCGUUAAUCGGAAUUACUGGGCGUAAAGGGCACGCAGGCGGUUAAUUAAGUUGGAUGUGAAAUCCCCGGGCUUAACCUGGGAAUGGCAUUCAAGACUGGUUAGCUAGAGUCUUGUAGAGGGGGGUAGAAUUCCAUGUGUAGCGGUGAAAUGCGUAGAGAUGUGGAGGAAUACCAGUGGCGAAGGCGGCCCCCUGGACAAAGACUGACGCUCAUGUGCGAAAGCGUGGGGAGCAAACAGGAUUAGAUACCCUGGUAGUCCACGCUGUAAACGAUGUCGAUUUGGAGGUUGUGGUCAUGAACUGUGGCCUCCGGAGCUAACGCGUUAAAUCGACCGCCUGGGGAGUACGGCCGCAAGGUUAAAACUCAAAUGAAUUGACGGGGGCCCGCACAAGCGGUGGAGCAUGUGGUUUAAUUCGAUGCAACGCGAAGAACCUUACCUACUCUUGACAUCCAGCGAAUCCUUUAGAGAUAAAGGAGACGC